Molecule: ribosomal RNA, 250 nt
Filed under: uncultured bacterium
Lineage: Bacteria
Description: partial 16S ribosomal RNA
Rfam family: Bacterial small subunit ribosomal RNA
Source: RNAcentral
UACGGAGGGUGCAAGCGUUACCCGGAAUUAUUGGGCGUAAAGCGUCCGCAGGUGGUUAGUUAAGUUGAAUGUUAAAUCUGAAGGCUCAACCUUCAGGCUGUAUUCAAAACUGGCUAACUAGAGACUUCCAGAGGCAAGUGGAAUUCUGUGUGUAGGGGUAAAAUCCGUAGAUACACAGAGGAACACCAAAAGCGAAGGCAGCUUGCUGGGGAAGUUCUGACACUCAUGGACGAAAGCGUGGGGAGCGAAC